This 315-nucleotide ribosomal RNA is filed under the name Cryptosporidium parvum. RNAcentral describes it as "SSU rRNA". It matches the Rfam family "Eukaryotic small subunit ribosomal RNA", at positions 753 to 1072 of the family's 1831-position model. Lineage: Eukaryota; Apicomplexa; Conoidasida; Eucoccidiorida; Cryptosporidiidae. The record is from RNAcentral.
UACUUUGAGAAAAUUAGAGUGCUUAAAGCAGGCAUAUGCCUUGAAUACUCCAGCAUGGAAUAAUAUUAAAGAUUUUUAUCUUUCUUAUUGGUUCUAAGAUAAGAAUAAUGAUUAAUAGGGACAGUUGGGGGCAUUUGUAUUUAACAGCCAGAGGUGAAAUUCUUAGAUUCGUUAAAGACAAACUAAUGCGAAAGCAUUUGCCAAGGAUGUUUUCAUUAAUCAAGAACGAAAGUUAGGGGAUCGAAGACGAUCAGAUACCGUCGUAGUCUUAACCAUAAACUAUGCCAACUAGAGAUUGGAGGUUGUUCCUUACUC